UUCAAGUUGACGUUAUUUUCCUAUAUAAAAGCAUUUUUCCAUUCCAUCCAUAUGCUUUGAGUCUGGAUCACGAUACUCACCACAUUUAGAACCAAGAUAAAUGCAGGAUAUCCCUAGGCAAGCUUUACAAAGCCUCUGAGACAGUAAGGCAAAAGGCACUCCGAAGACAUGGCUAUCUUCCUGGGGUUUAAACAACUUUCAAUGUAAAUGGGCAUGAUGGGGCAAAAUGAACAGUGUGUUAACACUAGAAGGACAUGGCAUUGUCCUUCCAGGAUGAGGCCCAUUAAAGUCAUUUUUUAAAAGCACGGACCAGUCAUACUGAAAUGAAAACAAGUUAGCAAGUUGUUAUGCGGGCUUUGCUGCAAGUUGUGAUUUGGGCAUAAUCAGAAAUUCUAAUCAUAAGAGGCUGCAGGAGCAUCAUAAUUGCAGAAGAGGGAGGGCCACUGGGUGUCAGACUUUCAGGGGUGAGCUGGAGAUUUAUUGCCUCCGUGGUGAGGCAGGUGAAUGAUGGAUAGGGUGGCUGUCGCUCCAGUGAAUUUAGUGAGGAAGUGAAAAGCAGCCUCGGGAGUGGGGGUGCGAGAAAGAGCUGGGAUUUAUGAACUGAAAUAUGUAUUAUAAUGGGGCGGAUUUCAGGACUCCGAGCCUUACUUCAGCCAUAGCUACAGCAUUAUGGAUGAGCCUCAGAUGGGGCUGGAAUGAAACCUUUCAGACCAACUGAAUGCCCGGCAUCAACCACGCAGAAGGGAUCUGCACGCAUUCCACACCCGUGAAGUCCUGGAGAAGAGCAGAAAGCCUCAAGGGGAAGACGAAGAAUAAGGAGCCUCCUGGUUUCACUGCUGCCUUUCCUUUUUCUGGUUAUUUCAAAACUACAGGUUUGUAAGGUGAGCAAGCUGGAUUAGCAACGGUGAACUUCAAGGUCCUUCUUGUUCUAGGAUUCCAUGAAAUAAGAAAGGGA
Molecule: long non-coding RNA, 955 nt
Filed under: Mustela putorius furo (domestic ferret)
Lineage: Eukaryota; Metazoa; Chordata; Mammalia; Carnivora; Mustelidae
Description: lncRNA (ENSMPUG00000026187.1)
Source: RNAcentral